CACUCCUGCGGGAGGCAGCAGUGGGGAAUAUUGCACAAUGGGCGCAAGCCUGAUGCAGCCAUGCCGCGUGUAUGAAGAAGGCCUUCGGGUUGUAAAGUACUUUCAGCGGGGAGGAAGGCGAUAAGGUUAAUAACCUUGUCGAUUGACGUUACCCGCAGAAGAAGCACCGGCUAACUCCGUGCCAGCAGCCGCGGUAAUACGGAGGGUGCAAGCGUUAAUCGGAAUUACUGGGCGUAAAGCGCACGCAGGCGGUCUGUCAAGUCGGAUGUGAAAUCCCCGGGCUCAACCUGGGAACUGCAUUCGAAACUGGCAGGCUAGAGUCUUGUAGAGGGGGGUAGAAUUCCAGGUGUAGCGGUGAAAUGCGUAGAGAUCUGGAGGAAUACCGGUGGCGAAGGCGGCCCCCUGGACAAAGACUGACGCUCAGGUGCGAAAGCGUGGGGAGCAAACAGGAUUAGAAACCCUGGUAGUCCCA
RNAcentral lists this ribosomal RNA (472 nucleotides) under uncultured organism. RNAcentral's name for it is "partial 16S ribosomal RNA". It matches the Rfam family "Bacterial small subunit ribosomal RNA", at positions 334 to 797 of the family's 1533-position model. The record is from RNAcentral.